RNAcentral lists this ribosomal RNA (468 nucleotides) under uncultured bacterium. RNAcentral's name for it is "partial 16S ribosomal RNA". It matches the Rfam family "Bacterial small subunit ribosomal RNA", at positions 28 to 507 of the family's 1533-position model. The record is from RNAcentral.
GACGAACGCUGGCGGCGUGCUUAACACAUGCAGGUCGAACGGAAAGGCCCUGCUUUUGUGGGGUGCUCGAGUGGCGAACGGGUGAGUAACACGUGAGUAACCUGCCCUUGACUUUGGGAUAACUUCAGGAAACUGGGGCUAAUACCGGAUAGGAGCUCCUGCUGCAUGGUGGGGGUUGGAAAGUUUCGGCGGUUGGGGAUGGACUCGCGGCUUAUCAGCUUGUUGGUGGGGUAGUGGCUUACCAAGGCUUUGACGGGUAGCCGGCCUGAGAGGGUGACCGGCGACAUUGGGACUGAGAGACGGCCCAGACUGCUACGGGAGGCAGCAGUGGGGAAUAUUGCAGAAUGGGCGGAAGCCUGAUGCAGCAACGCCGGGUGCGGGAUGACGGCCUUCGGGUUGUAAACCGCUUUCGCCUGUGACGAAGAGUGAGUGACGGUAAUGGGUAAAGAAGCACCGGCUAACUACGUG